CCUACGGGGGGCAGCAGUGGGGAAUAUUGCACAAUGGGGGAAACCCUGAUGCAGCGACGCCGCGUGAGUGAAUAAGUAUCUCGGUAUGUUAAGCUCUAUCAGCAGGGGAGAAAAUGCCGGUACCUGAUUCAGACGCGCCGGCUAACUACGUGCCAGCAGCCGCGGUAAUACGGAGGGGGCAAGCGUUAUCCGGGUUUACUGGGGGUAAAGGGAGCGUAGACGGCAGCGCAAGUCUGAUGUGAAAUGCCGGGGCUUAAACCCGGAACUGCUUUUGACACUGUGCAGCUAGAGUGCAGGAGAGGUAAGUGGAAUUCGUAGUGUAGCGGUGAAAUGCGUAGAUAUUAGGCGGAACACCAGGGGCGAAGGCGGCUUACUGGACUGUAACUGACGUUGAGGCUCGAAAGCGUGGGGAGCAAACAGGAUUAGAUACCCCAGUAGUC
This 440-nucleotide ribosomal RNA is filed under the name uncultured bacterium. RNAcentral's name for it is "partial 16S ribosomal RNA". It matches the Rfam family "Bacterial small subunit ribosomal RNA", at positions 338 to 795 of the family's 1533-position model. The record is from RNAcentral.